RNAcentral lists this ribosomal RNA (195 nucleotides) under uncultured Geobacter sp. RNAcentral's name for it is "partial 16S ribosomal RNA". It matches the Rfam family "Bacterial small subunit ribosomal RNA", at positions 338 to 524 of the family's 1533-position model. Lineage: Bacteria; Pseudomonadati; Thermodesulfobacteriota; Desulfuromonadia; Geobacterales; Geobacteraceae. The record is from RNAcentral.
CCUACGGGAGGCAGCAGUGGGGAAUUUUGCGCAAUGGGCGAAAGCCUGACGCAGCAACGCCGCGUGGGUGAUGAAGGCCUUCGGGUCGUAAAGCUCUGUCAGAGGGGAAGAACCACCUGAAGGUUAAUAUCCUUCAGGCCUGACGGUACCCUCAAAGGAAGCACCGGCUAACUCCGUGCCAGCAGCCGCGGUAAU